Long non-coding RNA from Numida meleagris (helmeted guineafowl), 351 nucleotides. RefSeq lists it as uncharacterized. NCBI's taxonomy places the organism in Eukaryota, Metazoa, Chordata, Aves, Galliformes, Numididae. The transcript has 3 exons. The record is from RefSeq and is a predicted model, not a curated record.
CUGGAUAGAUACAAAGACAGGCUGUGUAUUAAUUAGCAAUAUGACAAGCUCCCCAGCAGGACAGCCUGUUCCCUGAGGACUGCAGCGAUGUUUCAGGCCAUGCUCUCCCAGACCUGAAGGCAAAACUGAUCUUGACAUUCAUGCAGGAACGUGGAGAAGAAUGCGACAGGAACGUGGAGAAGAAUGCGACCUGUGCUUUAUAGUCCUGCCCACUCAUAGAGACACAACAUUUUUGGUAUGAAUAAGCAUCAACUGUCUUAAGUUUCAACCAGCAAUACCAAGAGAAAACUGAGCCAGAUUCCUCUCGGAGGUGCACAGCUUCCAAUGCAAAGGGUAAUGGACACAAAAUGC